CCCGAAUGGGGAAACCCAGUGUGACUCGUCACACUAUCAUUAACUGAAUCCAUAGGUUAAUGAGGCGAACCGGGGGAACUGAAACAUCUAAGUACCCCGAGGAAAAGAAAUCAACCGAGAUUCCCCCAGUAGCGGCGAGCGAACGGGGAGGAGCCCAGAGCCUGAAUCAGCAUGUGUGUUAGUGGAAGCGUCUGGAAAGGCGCGCGAUACAGGGUGACAGCCCCGUACACAAAAGCGCAUGUGCUGUGAGCUCGAUGAGUAGGGCGGGACACGUGGUAUCCUGUCUGAAUAUGGGGGGACCAUCCUCCAAGGCUAAAUACUCCUGACUGACCGAUAGUGAACCAGUACCGUGAGGGAAAGGCGAAAAGAACCCCGGCGAGGGGAGUGAAAAAGAACCUGAAACCGUGUACGUACAAGCAGUGGGAGCCCCACCACCAAAGCAUUUGCUGUACCGCGUUGACGGAGCGAAGCGACGUCAAACCGAUAAAACAGCAGUGUAAAGUGAGCCGCAGGGCGCUUUGCGCGACAGCGCAAAGGCAGGCGGUUUCGCGUAGCGAAAGCGAAUGCUUUGGGGUGGGGUGACUGCGUACCUUUUGUAUAAUGGGUCAGCGACUUAUAUUCUGUAGCAAGGUUAACCGAAUAGGGGAGCCGGAGGGAAACCGAGUCUUAAUUGGGCGUUAAGUUGCAGGGUAUAGACCCGAAACCCGGUGAUCUAGCCAUGGGCAGGUUGAAGGUUGGGUAACACUAACUGGAGGACCGAACCGACUAAUGUUGAAAAAUUAGCGGAUGACCUGUGGCUGGGGGUGAAAGGCCAAUCAAACCGGGAGAUAGCUGGUUCUCCCCGAAAGCUAUUUAGGUAGCGCCUCGUGAAUUCAUCUCCGGGGGUAGAGCACUGUUUCGGCUAGGGGGCCAUCCCGGCUUACCAACCCGAUGCAAACUGCGAAUACCGGAGAAUGUUAUCACGGGAGACACACGGCGGGUGCUAACGUCCGUCGUGAAGAGGGAAACAACCCAGACCGCCAGCUAAGGUCCCAAAGUCAUGGUUAAGUGGGAAACGAUGUGGGAAGGCCCAGACAGCCAGGAUGUUGGCUUAGAAGCAGCCAUCAUUUAAAGAAAGCGUAAUAGCUCACUGGUCGAGUCGGCCUGCGCGGAAGAUGUAACGGGGCUAAACCAUGCACCGAAGCUGCGGCAGCGACACUGUGUGUUGUUGGGUAGGGGAGCGUUCUGUAAGCCUGUGAAGGUGUGUCGUGAGGCAUGCUGGAGGUAUCAGAAGUGCGAAUGCUGACAUAAGUAACGAUAAAGCGGGUGAAAAGCCCGCUCGCCGGAAGACCAAGGGUUCCUGUCCAACGUUAAUCGGGGCAGGGUGAGUCGACCCCUAAGGCGAGGCCGAAAGGCGUAGUCGAUGGGAAACGGGUUAAUAUUCCCGUACUUGGUGUUACUGCGAAGGGGGGACGGAGAAGGCUAUGUUGGCCGGGCGACGGUUGUCCCGGUUUAAGCGUGUAGGUGUGUGUUCCAGGUAAAUCCGGUUCACUUUAACACUGAGGCGUGACGACGAGGCACUACGGUGCUGAAGCAACAAAUGCCCUGCUUCCAGGAAAAGCCUCUAAGCAUCAGGUAACAUCAAAUCGUACCCCAAACCGACACAGGUGGUCAGGUAGAGAAUACCAAGGCGCUUGAGAGAACUCGGGUGAAGGAACUAGGCAAAAUGGUGCCGUAACUUCGGGAGAAGGCACGCUGACACGUAGGUGAAGUGAUUUACUCAUGGAGCUGAAGUCAGUCGAAGAUACCAGCUGGCUGCAACUGUUUAUUAAAAACACAGCACUGUGCAAACACGAAAGUGGACGUAUACGGUGUGACGCCUGCCCGGUGCCGGAAGGUUAAUUGAUGGGGUCAGCGCAAGCGAAGCUCCUGAUCGAAGCCCCGGUAAACGGCGGCCGUAACUAUAACGGUCCUAAGGUAGCGAAAUUCCUUGUCGGGUAAGUUCCGACCUGCACGAAUGGCGUAAUGAUGGCCAGGCUGUCUCCACCCGAGACUCAGUGAAAUUGAACUCGCUGUGAAGAUGCAGUGUACCCGCGGCAAGACGGAAAGACCCCGUGAACCUUUACUAUAGCUUGACACUGAACAUUGAGCCUUGAUGUGUAGGAUAGGUGGGAGGCUUUGAAGUGUGGACGCCAGUCUGCAUGGAGCCGACCUUGAAAUACCACCCUUUAAUGUUUGAUGUUCUAACGUGGACCCGUUACCCGGGUUGCGGACAGUGUCUGGUGGGUAGUUUGACUGGGGCGGUCUCCUCCUAAAGAGUAACGGAGGAGCACGAAGGUUGGCUAAUCCUGGUCGGACAUCAGGAGGUUAGUGCAAUGGCAUAAGCCAGCUUGACUGCGAGCGUGACGGCGCGAGCAGGUGCGAAAGCAGGUCAUAGUGAUCCGGUGGUUCUGAAUGGAAGGGCCAUCGCUCAACGGAUAAAAGGUACUCCGGGGAUAACAGGCUGAUACCGCCCAAGAGUUCAUAUCGACGGCGGUGUUUGGCACCUCGAUGUCGGCUCAUCACAUCCUGGGGCUGAAGUAGGUCCCAAGGGUAUGGCUGUUCGCCAUUUAAAGUGGUACGCGAGCUGGGUUUAGAACGUCGUGAGACAGUUCGGUCCCUAUCUGCCGUGGGCGCUGGAGAACUGAGGGGGGCUGCUCCUAGUACGAGAGGACCGGAGUGGACGCAUCACUGGUGUUCGGGUUGUCAUGCCAAUGGCACUGCCCGGUAGCUAAAUGCGGAAGAGAUAAGUGCUGAAAGCAUCUAAGCACGAAACUUGCCCCGA
RNAcentral lists this ribosomal RNA (2803 nucleotides) under Salmonella enterica. RNAcentral's name for it is "partial 23S ribosomal RNA". It matches the Rfam family "Bacterial large subunit ribosomal RNA". Lineage: Bacteria; Pseudomonadati; Pseudomonadota; Gammaproteobacteria; Enterobacterales; Enterobacteriaceae. The record is from RNAcentral. RNAcentral also lists the same sequence under 1 other name.